Molecule: long non-coding RNA, 642 nt
Organism: Myripristis murdjan (pinecone soldierfish)
Lineage: Eukaryota; Metazoa; Chordata; Actinopteri; Holocentriformes; Holocentridae
Exons: 3
Source: RefSeq, a predicted model, not a curated record
GACGCUACCUAUACCGGAAGUGUGUCUUGAAACCAACACUAAAUCAGUGUCUACUAGAAAUAGUCGAUAAAAUAAAGAUGUAUGAUGAAUUGAAAAACGACAUAGAGUGUGUUAGUAAGGUGCUGGGCCACCACGAGGAGUGAGCCCUCCUGCCCUGCGGAGGGGGGCGUUGUCACCCUGGGACAGACCACUCCCAUCAGGACAGAAAUAAGAUGAAGGCGAUCACUCAGAGUAACUUUGUACUGGUUUGCGAAAGCGAGCACCCGGAGGCCAUGAGGAGUCUGGCUGCAGAUGUGAGGAGCUGCAUCAUGUCGUGUGAUCUUCCUGCUCACAUCAGGGAACCUCAGAAAGCUGCGGGGUCUGAGCAAUAACAGAAUCGGCUUGCUGGGAAGUUAGAGAGGCUCAACUUUUCAGGCAUGAACUGAAAAAUCUUCCAUAUCAAAUUGAUAACCUGAGCUUUUAUGUAUUUAUGAACUUGGACAAAAAAACAAUUUUAAGCAAUAUCACUGUUGGGCCAGUGGAUACCCAUUCAUGAAAUAUCCACAUCCCAAUCAAAAGUAAUUACUGAUACAAUACAGAAAACAAAUGAUACCAGUACACAUUAUUAUUUUUUUUUUUAUUAAUGACUACAUCUACACUGCU